This 297-nucleotide long non-coding RNA is filed under the name Musa acuminata (dwarf banana). RNAcentral's name for it is "long non-coding RNA (MACU_LNC001307)". The record is from RNAcentral. Lineage: Eukaryota; Viridiplantae; Streptophyta; Magnoliopsida; Zingiberales; Musaceae.
UGAUAUUUCUUCUUAAAGCAAUGCUUGCUCAGUUUGGUUACAUGAUUCCCAUAAGUGGUGCAAGAGAGAUAUUCCAUUAAACAAGCUUAGGCCGGUGGCAGCUCCGUUAGCACUAGGGAACAAGUCAUAUUAUGGGCGGGUAUCAAGUCAGCAAAGACAUGAAUCAGGGAGUUAACCGGGAAAGGGAAAUCAAUCAGGGUACAAAGCUUCCUUUACGUUAAGCGUAGAAAAUAUGGAUAGCAACACCAAGUAGAAAAUAUUGGUUUAUAGACUCCAAAUCAAGGGCUGUAAGCUAAG